AUUGAACGCUGGCGGCAGGCCUAACACAUGCAAGUCGAACGAGUGGCGGACGGGUGAGUAAUGUCUAGGAAACUGCCCGCUGUGGAGGGGUAACUACUUGAAACGGUAGCUAAUACCGCAUACCAUCGGAUGUUCCCAGAUGGGAUUGGCUCGUAGGUUGGGUAACGGCUCACCUAGGCGACGAUCCCUAGCUGGUCUGAGAGGAUGACCAGCCACACUGGAACGGAGAAACGGUCCAGACUCCUACGGGAGGCAGCAGGGGGGAAGAUUGGACAAUGGGGGGAAGGCUGAUGCAGCCAUGCAGCGGGUAUGAAGAAGGCCUUUGGGUUGUAAAGUACUUUUAGCGAGGAGGCGUUACCAACAGAAUAAGCACCGGCUAACUUCGUGCCAGCAGCCGCGGUAAUUC
Molecule: ribosomal RNA, 406 nt
Filed under: uncultured bacterium
Lineage: Bacteria
Description: partial 16S ribosomal RNA
Rfam family: Bacterial small subunit ribosomal RNA
Source: RNAcentral